This 465-nucleotide ribosomal RNA is filed under the name uncultured bacterium. RNAcentral's name for it is "partial 16S ribosomal RNA". It matches the Rfam family "Bacterial small subunit ribosomal RNA", at positions 28 to 507 of the family's 1533-position model. The record is from RNAcentral.
GACGAACGCUGGCGGCGUGCUUAACACAUGCAAGUCGAACGGAAAGGCCCUGCUUGCAGGGUCCUCGAGUGGCGAACGGGUGGGUAACACGUGGGUGAUCUGCCCUGCACUUCGGGAUAAGCCUGGGAAACUGGGUCUAAUACCGGAUAGGAGCCAUUUUUAGUGUGAUGGUUGGAAAGUUUUUUCGGUGUAGGAUGAGCUCGCGGCCUAUCAGCUUGUUGGUGGGGUAAUGGCCUACCAAGGCGGCGACGGGUAGCCGGCCUGAGAGGGUGGACGGCCACAUUGGGACUGAGAUACGGCCCAGACUCCUACGGGAGGCAGCAGUGGGGAAUAUUGCACAAUGGGCGCAAGCCUGAUGCAGCGACGCCGCGUGGGGGAUGACGGCCUUCGGGUUGUAAACUCGUUUCGCUAGGGACGAAGCUUUUUGUGACGGUACCUAGAGAAGAAGCACCGGCUAACUACGUG